UAUCAGGCUCGCCCAAGACAUCUAGCCACGCCACGCCCAGGGCCCUCAGCAGUGAUUAACCUUAAGAUAAACGUCAGUUUGACUUAGUUAAUGAAAAUAGAGCCGGCCAAUCUGGUGCCAGCCGCCGCGGUUACACCAGAGGCUCAAAUUGAUUCGGCGUAAAGCGUGAUUAAAGGGUCAAACUUAAAUUAAACUGUAAUAAGCCUAUUCUUAAAGCCCUAACACAAAAGACACCCCAACCAACCAACUUGAAUCCACGACAACUAGAAUACAAACUGGGAUUAGAUACCCCACUAUGCCUAGUCGUAAACUUUAACUUACCGCCUGGGAACUACGAGCAAAGCUUAAAACCCAAAGGACUUGACGGUGCCCCACAUCCUUCUAGAGGAGCCUGUCCUACAACCGAUACCCCCCGUUUAACCUCACCACCCCUAGCUCAGCUUGUAUACUUCCGUCGUCAGCUUACCGCGUGAGCGAAAGUAGGCCUAAUGUCCCACAUCAAUACGUCAGGUCAAAGUGCAGCUCAUGGGGUGGCAAGAGAUGGGCUACACUUUCUAUAGAAGACACGAAAAACCUAUGUGAAACACCAAGAAGGCGGAUUUAGCAGUAAGAGACCAGAAUGCCCCUGUUAACGGCCCUGGGGUGUGUACAUACCGCCCGUCACCCUCU
RNAcentral lists this ribosomal RNA (669 nucleotides) under Pristimantis croceoinguinis (Santa Cecilia robber frog). Its description in RNAcentral is "partial 12S ribosomal RNA". It matches the Rfam family "Bacterial small subunit ribosomal RNA", at positions 359 to 1405 of the family's 1533-position model. Lineage: Eukaryota; Metazoa; Chordata; Amphibia; Anura; Strabomantidae. The record is from RNAcentral.